Molecule: non-coding RNA, 29 nt
Filed under: Rattus norvegicus (Norway rat)
Lineage: Eukaryota; Metazoa; Chordata; Mammalia; Rodentia; Muridae
Source: RNAcentral
UAGGCACUGAGAAUGCAAAGUCUAUCUGC